AUACCAAUAAAAGCGCCAGGCCAUUUUAUCAAAAAAAUGGUGACGAGGAGAGAGCUUAUCGAAAGAUUCGGCGGAUGGCUCUAGGCAGUGCAGUCUACAGGCAAUUCUAAAAAUACAAAGUGAUUUGUUAACAAAGAAAUUGCCAAGUACCUAG
RNAcentral lists this non-coding RNA (154 nucleotides) under Carnobacterium divergens. Its description in RNAcentral is "GlcN6P sequence". It matches the Rfam family "glmS glucosamine-6-phosphate activated ribozyme aptamer". From Rfam's summary of the family: This entry contains a glucosamine-6-phosphate activated ribozyme that is found in the mRNA for GlmS. RNAcentral also lists the same sequence under 1 other name. The record is from RNAcentral. Lineage: Bacteria; Bacillati; Bacillota; Bacilli; Lactobacillales; Carnobacteriaceae.